Long non-coding RNA from Uranotaenia lowii, 458 nucleotides. RefSeq lists it as uncharacterized. The transcript has 4 exons. The record is from RefSeq and is a predicted model, not a curated record. NCBI's taxonomy places the organism in Eukaryota, Metazoa, Arthropoda, Insecta, Diptera, Culicidae.
GCUGCUGACGAAGAAAAACAGAUUUUUUCACUCGGCUAUCGUAGUUCAGAGUUUGCCGGACAAAAGUGCGCGUCAGUUCAAUCGCCAAAAGUUUAAGUGCCGCUUUAGUUUGCCAAGAUUAGCUAGCUCACAAGUUCCUCCAUUUUUGAGACACCUUACCGAUAUUGGUAUCAAGAGAAGAUUGUCUGGUAGUUCCACUAGGAUUCCUUUUUGACCAUUAUCGAACGCCGAUUAAAACCAUUAGGGCCCGGAAGAAGUGAAAGCUUUCCUCCUUCUCCUUAUUCAACCAAGGCAAUUUUCACACGGUCACACGAUAGGCCGAAACUCAAUCCGGAAAGCGAUUCGUAGGCUUAAAAGUAUUUAUCGCACUAAAAUUUUUGAAGCUGUAAUAAACUUAAAGUACUGCUAUCAGAAGUUAGUGCUUUUGCCUGCGUUUUCGAUUCCGGAAGUCUCAACAU